This 435-nucleotide ribosomal RNA is filed under the name uncultured bacterium. RNAcentral describes it as "partial 16S ribosomal RNA". It matches the Rfam family "Bacterial small subunit ribosomal RNA", at positions 29 to 507 of the family's 1533-position model. The record is from RNAcentral.
AGCGAACGCUGGCGGCAGGCUUAACACAUGCAAGUCGAGCGGGCAUCUUCGGAUGUCAGCGGCAGACGGGUGAGUAACACGUGGGAACGUACCCUUCGGUUCGGAACAACUCUGGGAAACUGGAGCUAAUACCGGAUACGCCCCUAUGGGGAAAGGUUUACUGCCGAAGGAUCGGCCCGCGUCUGAUUAGCUAGUGGGUGGGGUAACGGCCUACCAAGGCGACGAGCAGUAGCUGGUCUGAGAGGCUGAUCAGCCACACUGGGACUGAGACACGGCCCAGACUCCUACGGGAGGCAGCAGUGGGGAAUAUUGGACAAUGGGCGCAAGCCUGAUCCAGCCAUGCCGCGUGAGUGAUGAAGGCCUUAGGGUUGUAAAGCUCUUUUGUCCGGGACGAUAAUGACGGUACCGGAAGAAUAAGCCCCGGCUAACUUCGUG